CUGGCUCCCAAGCCCGGGCUCUUUCCACUGGGCCACACUGCUUCUAGUGCCAGGAAGGUUUCAGGUGGGGGUGACGAAUUGGAGAAAGAAGAAGGACAACGGGGAAACAGCUGAAUACGAUCAUAUUAACUUGAUUUUGGACUCACCUGCGACACAUCCCGCCCCAAGUCGGAUUUUUCGUGAUUCCACUUCUCUAGCGGGCUGUUGGGUUGUUGUAGUACAGGGGAAUUCUGCGGUUGGUCGUGCAAAAACAUCACUGCACAUGACUUUUCUCGGCUUUCUAAUAAUUUCGGGGCCACGGGGCGGCGAUAAGACACCACGAAGAAAGAUAAAAAAUUUGGUCUCCACACCAACGCCGGAGCUAGUGAGUUUGCUGUCGAGAGUAAUCCGUCCUUCAGACACUGAGCACCACUACUGAGGAGAAUCAUGAAGACAAUGAAGGUCUCAAACCAGUUAUGUUCAACUAUUUUGAAGCAUGUUUUCCUCAAAUUCCACCAGUGCUUUCCUUUUCCUGAUUCCACACUGACUUGACAGCAUUUGAAUCUUCGUACACAGCCUAAAAGUCAAAUGUUCAAAGGUCAGAUCCGAUUCACUACUGAAGUCUUCUGUGUUUAAAUUUUCAAAGUCAGAUUCACCAACAGCAAUUGGAACCGUCACAGUGAGACUGGG
This is a long non-coding RNA of Ornithorhynchus anatinus (platypus), 669 nucleotides long. RefSeq lists it as uncharacterized. The record is from RefSeq and is a predicted model, not a curated record. NCBI's taxonomy places the organism in Eukaryota, Metazoa, Chordata, Mammalia, Monotremata, Ornithorhynchidae. The transcript is spliced from 3 exons.